CUAGCUCUUGGGCAAGCGUGUGGCUGUCCAACCCCAAGCAAGGUGAAAUUAGCAAGAAAGAAAGGCUGGGGGAGGACUGCGGGCAGGAGAGAAUCUGCACAGCUGCAUGGAUUCCUAAGAGAGGUCGGGUCCCAUUUAAGAAGCUUUGUGGAUAAAAAGGAGAAGGCCAGGGGCCUGGGAAACCCUCAGUGCCCUUCUGCAGGAGCAGAGAGGCGAGGCUGAGCAGCAGUGCUGGUGUGUGAAGCCCCAUGCUUCUCCAGUAUGGUAGGGGAUGAGUGGUGUUUUAGGGUGGGACCCUGCCAGCUCUCGAGUGAUAGCCCAAGGCUGGGCACACCAUGAUAUCCACAACACAAAGAGUUGCAAGUGUUGGAACCCCCAGCCAAGAGGCAAACUGUUGGACUUACGGACCUUGUACUUCUAAGGGCAACUUUCACAACAGCUGGAUUCAGGGGCUGUCUCUUCCUCCUUCCAAGUCUCCAUCCGUCAGCACCGCUCCUCUCCUUCCGCUGCCACUGGGCCCUUGGGCCGCAAAUGGGCCUCUUCAUCUGGAGGGAGAGACGGCUGCUGGCAGCCCAAAGUCUCUGUCCUUACAGAUGGUGACCUGAAGGGGACAGGAAGCUUUCUUUCCCUUUGCUUCCCAGGAAGAACUCUGAAGGACUGGUUUGAGCCACGUCAGUACCCCUUGGACUGACUGGAGUCACGUGCCGAGCCCUGUGAGCUCCUGAACCACGGUCAUGCCCACAUUCCACACGUAUUGAGCGUCAUCUUCAUGCAGACACUGCUGUGGGUGCUGGAGAUGGAGUGGUUAGCAGCCCAGGCAGGAAGAAGCAGCACUGCCCACCUGCACAGUCCGCCCCCAGCCCCCUGGAAGAUGGGUCACAGCAGGAGCAGUGGUCACCACGGAUUUCCAGGGGUGAACAGAGACAGAGGCCAGAAGAGGAGAGUGCAGAAAUGUCUGGAGCCCAAGGUCUCGGCUACAUCUAACUUCACAUUUGCACAGAUCACCACUGAGCACAAGGCUGUACUACCUACCCCUCCCCACUCCUGUCUGCCUGAACUCACCUGGGACAGAAGACAGGACUUCCAAACAGCAGGACGCAAGCCAAUGCAUGGUGCACAGGAUGUCCUGGUCUUUUGGGUGAAGCAUGCCCAGCUCUGAGACCUCGCCUUGGUCCCAUGUGCAAUCCCAGCCUCAUCNNNNNNNNNNCCAGCCUCAUCGCCUGGGUCCCGUGUGCAAUCCCAGCCUCAUCGCCUUGGUCCCACCCCAGCGCCAUGUGCAGAGUCAGCCUCCAUCUUUCUGCAUGUCCAGACCCCCUGCUUCUGCCUGUCUGCAUGGAGAAGCCUUCACGGAAGGUUCACACUUUCCAACUGGUAAACGUGUCUGGUGCCCCAAGUGCUCCCGGGAGAGACUGUGAGUACCCCCCAUCCCCGUUACUCAGUAUGACCUCAUACCACUGUCUUCACAGGGACCCUAAUGCCUGUUGUCCUCAGUAGGACCAUAUGCCCCCAUCCUUAGUGGGGCCACGAGCCCUCUGUCCUCAGUGGGACCCCACGCCCUUGUCCUCAGUGGGAUAACGUGUCUGCUCAUAGCCCUCAGCACAGUUCUGGACUCAGUAAGUCCUAAUACACCCCUGCCUGGCUCUUACACACUGUCUGCUUCUACAGAGUCUUAUAUCUUCAUUAAGAAGGUAAACUCCUAAGGACAGAGGCUCUGUUCCCCCUUCUCGGGCCACUCAGCAGCCGGCCCAUAGCUGCUGCUGCACACCCAGGUGCAGACAUGGGAGCCCAGCUUGCAGGACUGAGCCUCUUUCUAGAUCAGGCGGGACCUGGUGGUCUCUGCUGGGGGCAGGGCCGGGCUUCCCUGUGAGCAUUCCUCCGCUGGUGACCCUGCUGCCUCCAGCGGGGAGGAAAACCCAGGUCCAAUCAUCACACCGGGAGCUAGGUUGUGCCAUGAAGAGGACUAGCAUGAGCUUGGGGUUCCACAGGCCAGGUUCAGUGCCCUGAGCCGCACACACCAGCUUGUGUCCUUGCAUGGUUACUCUUGUCUUUGAGCCUCUGCCAAGGGGGUAAGAAUAUUUACCCACCUUAGCCGGUUGCUUUGAAAAACAAAUGAGGGGCUAUGAAAGCAAGGUCCUUCUCAGCUAUCACUUGUUCUCUCCAUGCAGUACGGCGAGCUUCAGGAGAAGCCCGUGACGCCGGCAUGGUGGUUCCGGCCGCCCUGUGAAUUCAGUGGGUAUCACUUCCAUUGCCCAGGAGCAAUGCCCUCACCGCAGAAACCCCACAAGACACCCUUAGUGUGGCGGCCGACAUCUCUGCGGACAACAGAGAUUUUCCUGUGCCUUCUGAGGCAUCUGUGGGACCAGCAUGGGGGUGCUCUGCCUUAUAAGGCACAGGUGCCACUGCUGUGGGGUCAGAGUUCUGAUUGCUUUUAGAUUGUGUCUGUGCCAGGGAAGACGAAUGAACACAAAGUAAAUUACCCUCUCUUAGUGCAGCAAUGGGGACCAGCUGGUGAGGCAGCUUCUGUCCUCCUCGUUCCUUAUCUCUUUCCUGUCUCCUCACCCCAGCUCCUGACUCAAUUCAGUGUCAUUCUGGAAUAUGAAGGCCAGCCAGAAUGGAAAUAGAAAGCCAAUCACAUUACCACAUAAAAGAGAGAAGAAAAAUUAAAAUUUGGCUGCAAUAACAAAUGCUCAUUUCUGUUAAAUGAGUUGAAUUUUUAAAAGUCAAUCUUUGGCCAGGUGUGGUGGCUCACACCUGUAAUCCCAACAUUUUGGGAGGCCGAUGUGGAUGGAUCACCUGAGGUCAGUGAUUCGAGACCAGCCUGGCCAAUAUGGUAAAACCCUGUCUCUACUAAAAAUAAAAAAAUUAGCCGGGUAUGGUUGUGGGUGCCU
This 2888-nucleotide long non-coding RNA is filed under the name Piliocolobus tephrosceles (Ugandan red Colobus). RNAcentral describes it as "lncRNA (ENSPTEG00000029461.1)". Lineage: Eukaryota; Metazoa; Chordata; Mammalia; Primates; Cercopithecidae. The record is from RNAcentral.